UGGGAGGGAUCGUGAGGGUGCUAGACACGGCCUGAAGUAUUUAUUGAAUGUUGUCUCACUGCCCAGAGAGGGUGUAAGGCCCGUAAGGCCGUCGUCUAGUUACCUCGCCGGUUCCUCUCGAGAGUCGGGUUGCUUGAAAGUGCAGCCCUAAGUAGGUGGUAAACUCCAUCUAAGGCUAAAUAUUCCCACGAGACCGAUAGCGAACAAGUACCGCGAGGGAAAGUUGAAAAGAACUUUGAAAAGAGAGUUCAAGAGAGCGUGAAACUACCACGAGGAUAAAGCGAGUGAGCGUUCGUAUCCGAGCGGUGGGAUUCAGUUUCACCCCCGGGCGGGCGGCGGAGGGUCGCAAUACGCAACAUUACGGAUCUCCCCCGGGACCUCGGUCGGCGCUCGCGUCGAUCGAAUCCGUUCCGAGGGGCGACCGGCGUAUCCUCCGUUCGUCCGUUCGAAAAGGGGGACGCAGUUCCCUGCCGCGUCGGGCGUCGCGGCCGUUCUCGGAGGUGUCGAAGACACGGGGGUCUGGGAAACCGCAUCUUCGCGUCCUGGGAAUCGCGGCUUCGGCUUCGCGCCGUCGCUUAGCGCCCGGGGUUACGCGUCGAGCGGGGCCGCCCCGUUCGAUCUGACGGCCUCU
RNAcentral lists this ribosomal RNA (631 nucleotides) under Paraplatyarthridae sp. Ja243. RNAcentral's name for it is "eukaryotic LSU rRNA". It matches the Rfam family "Eukaryotic large subunit ribosomal RNA", at positions 151 to 506 of the family's 3401-position model. The record is from RNAcentral. Lineage: Eukaryota; Metazoa; Arthropoda; Malacostraca; Isopoda; Paraplatyarthridae.